UACGGAGGGUGCAAACGUUGCUCGGAAUCAUUGGGCGUAAAGCGCACGUAGGCGGUUUGUUAUGUCGGAUGUGAAAGCCCUUGGCUCAACUGAGGAAGUGCAUCCGAAACUGGCAAGCUAGAGUACUAAAGAGGGUCGCGGAAUUCCCGGUGUAGAGGUGAAAUUCGUAGAUAUCGGGAGGAACACCGGUGGCGAAGGCGGCGACCUGGGUAGAUACUGACGCUGAGGUGCGAAAGCGUGGGGAGCAAACAGG
Molecule: ribosomal RNA, 253 nt
Filed under: uncultured bacterium
Lineage: Bacteria
Description: partial 16S ribosomal RNA
Rfam family: Bacterial small subunit ribosomal RNA
Source: RNAcentral